AAUAGAUACCCAGGUAGUCCACGCCGUAAACGAUGUCGACUUGGAGGUUGUUCCCUUGAGGAGUGGCUUCCGGAGCUAACGCGUUAAGUCGACCGCCUGGGGAGUACGGCCGCAAGGUUAAAACUCAAAUGAAUUGACGGGGGCCCGCACAAGCGGUGGAGCAUGUGGUUUAAUUCGAUGCAACGCGAAGAACCUUACCUACUCUUGACAUCCACGGAACUUUUCAGAGAUGAAUUGGUGCCUUCGGGAACCGUGAGACAGGUGCUGCAUGGCUGUCGUCAGCUCGUGUUGUGAAAUGUUGGGUUAAGUCCCGCAACGAGCGCAACCCUUAUCCUUUGUUGCCAGCGGUUAGGCCGGGAACUCAAAGGAGACUGCCAGUGAUAAACUGGAGGAAGGUGGGGAUGACGUCAAGUCAUCAUGGCCCUUACGAGUAGGGCUACACACGUGCUACAAUGGCGCAUACAAAGAGAAGCGACCUCGCGAGAGCAAGCGGACCUCAUAAAGUGCGUCGUAGUCCGGAUUGGAGU
This 527-nucleotide ribosomal RNA is filed under the name uncultured bacterium. Its description in RNAcentral is "bacterial SSU rRNA". It matches the Rfam family "Bacterial small subunit ribosomal RNA", at positions 777 to 1304 of the family's 1533-position model. The record is from RNAcentral.